AUCCGGCCGAUUCGGCCGAACGGGGCGGCCCAGGACCGCGCGCGACUCGUGCACCUGAAGUGGUCGCGUGCCCUCACCUCCUCCCAUCCUUUUCUCUCUUUUUUCUCCUCUGUUCUCACCGGUUCACAGUGGCAAACCCUAGCUCUCCUCCCUCAUUCGGCGGCGCAUCAGGCGGGGUGGUUCGGCGGAGCGGGUGGCCGCGCCGGGGACGAGCGGCAAGCGGGGCGGGCGGCAGGUGUCGGCGGCGCGGGUUCUCGCUCUCUAGCGGCGCGGGCGGAGGGAACCGGCGGCGCGGGUGCUCGCCCUCUAGCGGCGCGGGCGGAGGGAACAGGCAGCGCGGGCGAUGACUACAGGUGGCGCGGCGGCGACUCCAGGCAACGCGGCGGCGACUGCAGGCGGCACGGCGGCGAGUCCACGCGGCAGCUGCGGCGGCGAGUAGAAACAAUAUCACUCUCUUUGCAUUCCUCCUCGUUUGAAGGCAAUGGAGGGAAGUGGACAAAGUGAUAAGGGUGGACAUGUUACAUGGACAUCUUCAAUGUCUACCUACAUGCUUGAAUACCUCGAGGAUAUUGUUGCUAGUGGGAACAAAACUUCCUCGGGGUUUAAGCAAGUCCACUUGAAGGCUUGUGCUAAAGCUUUGAAUGAUCACUUCAAUAUUAAUUUGACUUCAGAUCAGAUUACUAAUCACAUUAGGACUUGGAAAAGGAAAUAUUCUAAGAUAGCUGAUCUGAGGAAGUUGAGUGCUGCUCUUUCGGAUGAUGACAAUUUUAUCAUAUCACUUGAUCAUAAACAUUAUGCAGACCACAUCAAGGAUCACAAGGCUGAUGCUGAAUAUCUGAACAAACCUAUUCACAAUUAUAGCAAAAUGCUUGUCAUAUUUGGCAAUAGCUUGGCUACAGGGAAAUAUGCAAAAGGAUCAGGUGAUCCUCUAGCCACUGAAUCUAUUCCCAUUGAUGAUGAUGAAGAAGAAGAGUAAAUUGGUAUUGGAAGUGCUGCAGCAACUGGAUCAGCUAGUAGAGUUCAUGCCCUUAAUGAGGAGAAUGGUGCAUCAUCUUCAGCACCCAAACCCAAGAAAGCAAAGACUGCUGCUGCAAUUGAAGAGAAAGGGCUGAUAGGCGCAUUUAAAUCUGUUGGUGACAAGCUUGCUGGAGCAAUAGUUGAAGCUGGAAAAGAGGCUGCAAAAUCUAAUAAUGAGCUGCCCGAUAACCUGUAUGAGAGUGUGCAUAGCAUUCUAGGGUUUGAAGAUGCACAUCUUACUCAUUAUCAUGCACAUCUAGUUGACAAUCCUCCAACUGCAAGGGUGUUUGUUACCCUUGCAUUUGCUCACAAGGUCACUUGGGUUGCAAGAUAUAUUGCCACCACUUUUAAUGGGUGAACUGUGUUGUGAUGGUUGUGUGAUGCUGUUGGUAGUUGCCCUGUGUUCAACCUUCUUUUGCAUACUCAAACAAUGAACUAUGAGUAUUGUGUGAUGGUAUAUGUUAGAUGGUAAUAGGCCUGCAUUCAACCUUAUUUUGCAUACUCAGACAUUAAACUAUGAGUAUUAAGUGUGAUGGCAUUUGGUAGAUGGUAAAUAGGCUUGUGUUAGCCUACUUUUGUCCCUAAACCAGUCACUUGUAUUGGAUGUAUGGUUGAUGGUAAAAUUCAGAUGUGGUGGUUCCAUUGGAUGAUGGUUAAUUGAUAUAUUUUUGCAUAUUUCAUUUA
Oryza sativa Japonica Group (Japanese rice) is the source of this 1701-nucleotide non-coding RNA. NCBI's taxonomy places the organism in Eukaryota, Viridiplantae, Streptophyta, Magnoliopsida, Poales, Poaceae. The record is from RefSeq and is a predicted model, not a curated record.